UGGAGGUCCUGUUUAAUUCAACUGCUGGAACUGCUGGAUCAUGUCUGAAUGAAUGCAGCAGAAGUCUGCUUACAGUUCUCAAGACUCUUGACUCAGGGCCAGCCCAAGAGCAGACCCAGCCAAGGAGCCACGCUUUUGGCUCCUAGAUUCAAAGUCGUGGCUGCAGAAAUGUGUACAAAACAAUUCCAUGAAAGAUCAAGUGGAUAGGAUCAUUUGCAAUACAAGUUUAUCUAACGACUUCUCUCAAUUAAGAAAAUAAAUAAAUGUGCUUCUUACUUGCAGGCACGAGGAAGCAGCCUUUGAUCCAUCAUUCACUGAGACAAGUAUGGCUCGUGGUCCACCACCGUGAACUAUG
RNAcentral lists this long non-coding RNA (355 nucleotides) under Gallus gallus (chicken). Lineage: Eukaryota; Metazoa; Chordata; Aves; Galliformes; Phasianidae. The record is from RNAcentral.